AACGAACGCUGGCGGCAUGCCUAACACAUGCAAGUCGAACGAGACCUUCGGGUCUAGUGGCGCACGGGUGCGUAACGCGGGGGAACCUGCCCUUAGGUUCGGAAUAACUCCCCGAAAGGGGUGCUAAUACCUGAUAAUGUCUUCGGACCAAAGAUUUGUCGCCUCUGGAUGGGCCCGCGUUGGAUUCGCUAGUUGGUAGGGUAAAAGCCUACCAAGGCGACGAUCCAUAGCUGGUCUGAGAGGAUGAUCAGCCACACUGGGACUGAGACACGGCCCAGACUCCUACGGGAGGCAGCAGUGGGGAAUAUUGGAAAAUGGGCGAAAGCAUGAUCCAGCAAUGCCGCGUGAGUGAUGAAGGCCUUAGGGUUGUAAAGCUCUUUUACCCGGGAUGAUAAUGACAGUACCGGGAGAAUAAGCUCCGGCUAACUCCGUG
This 433-nucleotide ribosomal RNA is filed under the name uncultured bacterium. RNAcentral describes it as "partial 16S ribosomal RNA". It matches the Rfam family "Bacterial small subunit ribosomal RNA", at positions 29 to 507 of the family's 1533-position model. The record is from RNAcentral.